UGUGAAUAUGAGGGUAGUGUGAGGGAGUGUAAACAGGAGGUCCAGGGUGUGAAUAUGAGGGUAGUGUGAGGGAGUGUAAACAGGAGGUCCAGGGUGUGAAUAUGAGGGUAGUGUGAGGGAGUGUAAACAGGAGGUCCAGGGUGUGAAUAUGAGGGUAGUGUGAGGGAGUGUAAACAGGAGGUCCAGGGUGUGAAUAUGAGGGUAGUGUGAGGGAGUGUAAACAGGAGGUCCAGGGUGUGAAUAUGAGGGUAGUGUGAGGGAGUGUAAACAGGAGGUCCAGGGUGUGAAUAGUAGGGAACAUGAGGGUAGUGUGAGGGUGAGUGUGAGGAAUGGUUAACUGGAAGGAAGGGAAGGGAAGGAAGAGAACAAAGGGAGGAAAGAGAGGGAAGGGAGGAAUUCAUAAGAGGACCACAUCGUAAGUAAGAAUGUAAAUAGUGUAAAUAUGUGUAAAGAACAUGACCAUGGGGGUAAAUGAGACCCCAAAUAAAUCAAGUCGACCCCAUGUAUAGAGAGGAGCGUUAAUAAAUGUAAAUACGAGUAGAGUGUAAAUGAAUGUAAAUAAGUGGACCAAAGUGUAAAAUGAAGACCCAAAAUGUGAAGAAUGAGGACCACAAUGGAAAGUAGAGCAUAACUAAGUAAAUAUGCGUGUAAAUCUGUAUAAAUAAGACCAAUGUAAAAGAGGCCCAAGAUGUAAAUAAGGAGAAGCACAAUGGAAAGAAGAGCAUAAAUAAGUGCAAAUAUUCGUAUAAAUAAGAGGACCAGUGUAGAGACCCAAAAUGGAAACAAAGAGGACCGAAGUGGAAAGAAGAGAACCACAAAAGAGUUAACUUGAUUACUGGUCCUGUGGCGAAAAAAGAUGACACGUUGCCACAUCCCGAGUCAUCCCUAACCAUUACCAUUACGUCGGCCAUUAAGUGUGACCCUGAAGACAGAUGUUACAGAGGCGAGGGAGAGGAACACAGGCGACCAAAUCCCUGGGGCUAAAGUCGGUAUUGUUAGACACUUCCGCAACCCCAACAUCAACUAUUUCCAGACGCCAAAAAAGAUCAGUCGGGUUGAACAUAAGAACAUAAGAACGUAGGAGUCUGCAAGAGGCCGGUAGGCCUGUACAAGGCAGCUCCUUUGAACCUAAGCUCCCGUGAAUCUACCCCCACCUAUUAUCACUGUCCAUGAAUUUAUCUAAUCUAUUUUUGAAUGUGACAAUUGUAUUGGCACUCACCACGUGACUGCUAAGCCUAUUACACUCAUCCACCACUCUGUUAGUAAACCAAUUUUUGCCUAUGUCCCUGUUGAAUCUGAAUUUAUCCAGUUUAAACCCAUUACUACGUGUCCUACCCGGUUCUCUUACCAACAAAACCUUACGAAUACCCCCCUUAUUAAAGCCCUUCAUCCAUUUAUAAACCUCGAUCAUGUCUCCACGCACCCUUCGCCUUUCUAGAGAAUGCAAGUUUAACUGUUUGAGUCUUUCCUCGUAUGGCUGGGCAGGGCUGAAUCAUCUUAAUUAGUCAUCCUCCUCUGCACCGAUUCUAACAUGUUGAUAUCCAUUACUCUUGUUUGGGAAAUAAAUGAAAAAGAGAAGACAUUUGUGUACCAUUCUGUAUAGAGAGCCACGAGGAAAGUAUAUUAUAUUUCGACAAACAUAAAAAGAAAAUUACUAUAUGAGUGAAUCACAGUUGUUUGGGAGAGAGAGAGAGAGAGAAGACAUUUGUGCAUCAUUCUGUAAUCUGCAAAAAGAGGGCAGGAAGAAAAGUAUGUAAUAUUUCUUCCUACAAGCACAGAAGAAAAUCAAGGGAGUGAAUUACAGUUUGAGAAGAAAAAGCAAAAAAAGAAGUACUACUAUAUUUACGAGUCUUGAAAGGAACCUCCAUCAGCAUUAGUUACAUUUAUACUAAUCAAUUCUUACGGUAACAUUUUUUUUCUCUCUUUACCGACAAAUAAUUCAUUACAGUCAAGCGAUCAGCCGAACCAAACAUUUUCCAUAGUCCGGGUUAAAAUACCGACAUAGAUACAGAGAAAACAAAACCAAUUUUAUGGGCAACUUUAGCAAAUACCGAUAUAGAUACAAACACAGAAAGCGUGAUAAUUUUAUGGGCAACUUUAGCAAAUGUAUUCAAACGCACACUAAAAUAAAUACGUCAUUUACUGAAAGACAUUUGGCGAGCCGACCAAGAACGCAUUGGAUAAACAGAGAGAGAGAGAGAGAGAGAGAGAGAGAGAGAGAGAGAGGUAAAGUUGAGGUAGCUGCGCUUGGCCGCGGUGCUCGUCUCCGUCGCAUUGGCCCUUGAGCCUGUAGUGGGAAGAAUCCAUUGACUCGGGACACAGGGCCAGUUUGACAUCCAGGUUGCCACACCAUACCUUCCGCAGGUUUCCCCAUUCAUUCAUUUAUUAACCAGCUCGAACGGGAGUCUGUAGUGUACAGCUGGAUGGGCUAAUUCCCCGUACCAGGAUUCGAACCAAGGCCCGCGAAUUCGAAGCUGGCAACGCUAACCACUGCACGAUGGAGGCGUUGGCGACUUCAGAAUAAAACACUCAUUUCCAU
Molecule: long non-coding RNA, 2539 nt
Organism: Eriocheir sinensis (Chinese mitten crab)
Lineage: Eukaryota; Metazoa; Arthropoda; Malacostraca; Decapoda; Varunidae
Exons: 5
Source: RefSeq, a predicted model, not a curated record